UACGUAGGGUGCAAGCGUUGUCCGGAAUUAUUGGGCGUAAAGAGCUUGUAGGCGGUUUGUCGCGUCUGCUGUGAAAUUUCGGGGCUCAACCCCGAACUUGCAGUGGGUACGGGCAGACUAGAGUGUGGUAGGGGAGACUGGAAUUCCUGGUGUAGCGGUGAAAUGCGCAGAUAUCAGGAGGAACACCAAUAGCGAAGGCAGCUCGCUGGGACGGUACUGACGCUGAGGUGCGAAAGCGUGGGGAGCAAACAGG
Molecule: ribosomal RNA, 253 nt
Filed under: uncultured bacterium
Lineage: Bacteria
Description: partial 16S ribosomal RNA
Rfam family: Bacterial small subunit ribosomal RNA
Source: RNAcentral